RNAcentral lists this ribosomal RNA (253 nucleotides) under uncultured bacterium. Its description in RNAcentral is "partial 16S ribosomal RNA". It matches the Rfam family "Bacterial small subunit ribosomal RNA", at positions 524 to 776 of the family's 1533-position model. The record is from RNAcentral.
UACGUAGGUCGCAAGCGUUGUCCGGAUUUACUGGGCGUAAAGAGCGCGCAGGCGGCUGGUCAAGUCCGAUGUGAAAUCUCCCGGCUCAACUGGGAAACUGCAUCGGAAACUGAUCGGCUUGAAGAUGGGAGAGGGUAGUGGAAUUCCCGGUGUAGUGGUGAAAUGCGUAGAUAUCGGGAGGAACACCAGUGGCGAAGGCGACUUCCUGGCCUGUUCUUGACGCUGAGGCGCGAAAGCUAGGGGAGCAAACGGG